Molecule: transfer RNA, 89 nt
Filed under: Deltaproteobacteria bacterium
Lineage: Bacteria; Pseudomonadati; Myxococcota; Myxococcia
Description: tRNA-Ser
Rfam family: tRNA
About the family: Transfer RNA (tRNA) molecules are approximately 80 nucleotides in length.
Source: RNAcentral
GGAGAGGUGGCCGAGAGGUCGAAGGCGGCAGACUCGAAAUCUGUUGAGUAGGUUAAACUGCUCCGUGGGUUCGAAUCCCACCCUCUCCG